Molecule: ribosomal RNA, 422 nt
Filed under: uncultured Lutibacter sp.
Lineage: Bacteria; Pseudomonadati; Bacteroidota; Flavobacteriia; Flavobacteriales; Flavobacteriaceae
Description: bacterial SSU rRNA
Rfam family: Bacterial small subunit ribosomal RNA
Source: RNAcentral
AGUGAGGAAUAUUGGGCAAUGGACGCAAGUCUGACCCAGCCAUGCCGCGUGCAGGAUGACUGCCCUAUGGGUUGUAAACUGCUUUUAUACAGGAAGAAACCACUCUACGUGUAGAGUGCUGACGGUACUGUAAGAAUAAGCACCGGCUAACUCCGUGCCAGCAGCCGCGGUAAUACGGAGGGUGCAAGCGUUAUCCGGAAUCAUUGGGUUUAAAGGGUCCGUAGGCGGAUUGAUAAGUCAGAGGUGAAAUCCCGCAGCUUAACUGUGGAACUGCCUUUGAUACUGUCAGUCUUGAGUUAUGUGGAAGUAGAUAGAAUGUGUAGUGUAGCGGUGAAAUGCUUAGAGAUUACACAGAAUACCGAUUGCGAAGGCAGUCUACUACGUAUAUACUGACGCUAAUGGACGAAAGCGUGGGGAGCGAA